CCUACGGGAGGCAGCAGUGAGGAAUAUUGGUCAAUGGUCGGGAGACUGAACCAGCCAAGCCGCGUGAGGGAUGAAGGUACAGAGUAUCGUAAACCUCUUUUGUCAGGGAACAAAGGCGGGGACGUGUCCCCGGAUGAGUGUACCUGAAGAAAAAGCAUCGGCUAACUCCGUGCCAGCAGCCGCGGUAAUACGGAGGAUGCGAGCGUUAUCCGGAUUUAUUGGGUUUAAAGGGUGCGCAGGCGGUCUGUUAAGUGAGCGUUCAAAGCCCGGGGCCCAACCCCGGCCCGCCGUUGAAACUGGCAGUCUUGAGUGGGAGAGAGGUAUGCGGAAUGCGCGGUGUAGCGGUGAAAUGCAUAGAUAUCGCGCAGAACUCCGAUUGCGAAGGCAGCAUGCCGGCUCCACACUGACGCUGAGGCACGAAAGCGUGGGUAUCGAACAGGAUUAGAUACCCCGGUAGUC
This 459-nucleotide ribosomal RNA is filed under the name uncultured bacterium. Its description in RNAcentral is "partial 16S ribosomal RNA". It matches the Rfam family "Bacterial small subunit ribosomal RNA", at positions 338 to 795 of the family's 1533-position model. The record is from RNAcentral.